Molecule: RNA transcript, 2239 nt
Organism: Phragmites australis (common reed)
Lineage: Eukaryota; Viridiplantae; Streptophyta; Magnoliopsida; Poales; Poaceae
Exons: 4
Source: RefSeq, a predicted model, not a curated record
CUCUGCUGGGUUCAUCUUGUCUUGUCCGGUUGUCCCUAAGCUAGCCUAGCUGACCUCCCUCUCCUCUUCUAGUCUUCUCCGCCAAGCCAGCCGCGCCGCAGGCAGCCUCCUCUCGCCGUGGCGGGCGUGCAGGACUCCCUCCUGAGGGCCUCUCUCCGAAUUUGCCUCGCCGCCCCAUGGACAUCUCCCCUCUGGCACCGGUCGGAUUUCACCUGCUCGCCGCCGGCGCGGGAUCUCCCAGUCCCAGCCUGUCUGAUACCUGUGUAGGACGGACGGAGUGACUACUGGGAAUACUAUGAACCUCACCAUACAUGCCGAUUUCAUCUCCAGUGAUGCAUCACUACUCACCGAGGGCCCAAACUGGAAAGUGUAAGAAUUUACUUCACUUCGAGAACUUCUGAAUGGUUGUACAGAAAUUCAUGACGGACUAUAAUGUUUCAGAACUGACGCAUCCAAAAAUAAAUUCAGAAGUGCACACAGAAACACUGGUGGCUAUCAUAGUUCCAGCACAAACAUUAUUUAGGUAGCUAUGAUAGAUGAUCAUGUGCCACAGCUCAAAAUUUUGCCAGCAGAUGUACAAUUAUGGAAUCGGCAGUCAUAUUAGAACUAAGUCAGCACCAGUAUUGGUAAUAGGUGUUUCACAUCUUGCAACCAGAAGACUCAGAAUAAUUGCUAUGAACUACUACUACUAGUACGAGUAACAUGUCAACAAAAUCUACUGUUUGUCUUCCGUAACUAAGCUUUCCUUGGGUAUUGGCUGCCCGACUACUGAUGCCUUCUCACUGAAAAUAGGAGUCGUAUCAAGGCCGAGUAUCUGGACAGGACCUUUUGGCGCUGAUGCCUCAGCAGGUUGGUGAUUGAAUUGUUGUUUGGCGGUGUCAUGAGUACUACAAUUAUGAGCGAGAUGUAAGCAGGAUCUACCGUUUGUCUUUGAUCACUAAGCUUUCCUGGGGCGCUGGCUGCCCGACUACUGUCGCCUUCUCUCCAAAUGUUGGAGCUGCAUGAAGACUGGGUAUCUGAACAAAAUCUUUUGGUGCUGAGGCCUCAGCAGUAUGGUGAUUGAGUUGUUGCUGGUUUGGUGCUGAAUUGGUCUCCAUGCUAGGGGCACCAAGGCAUCUUCGAACCUCAGUGAUCCCUGUCUCCAGUUUACUCAGUUCGCCUUCAAGCUCUGUUAUGUAUUGCACUGCAAGAGCUAAAAGUCUUGUUCCCUUGGAGUUUGUAGGUUGAGGAAGGACAGCUCUUAGCUUGACAUGCCCAUCUACCGCUUGCUGACCAGCUGGUAUCAGAUCAGAUCCUCCAUGGGAUGAACCUGCAGGUGCAUUCUGAUCUUUACUGGGUAAUUCAUUGAUGAGUUUAUCACCAAUAGUUCCAUUGUCACGUUGUUGCUUCUGUAAGCUUUCGAGAUAGUCAGCUGCAAAAUUAACCCUAAUCUCAAGCUCCUUGAUUCUCUCUGCUGCUUGUAGCAUAAUACUAUUCUCACUCAGUUUACCAGGGCCCGGUAACUUUGCUUGGAUCAUUGCACGGAUGUCAUUCUUUCUGUGCCUGGAUUGUGCCUGACGGCUCAGAUUGCACCUAAACCACAGCAUAUGCAUUAAAGUGAGCACAAAAAGAUAAGGUGGCCAUACAAAAUUUAGUUAGGAGAUCGAUUGCAAAAGCGGCAUGUACCUGAAUAUGGCUAAUGUGCGAUCUAUGGUAAUUCUGAAAACACGGCACAUAUUAUGUUUGGCUACCUGAUGUUUGUAUGGAGCAGUUUGCAGGAGGUCUUCGAAUGGAAAUGGGUACCCAAAUUAACAUCUGAUUGUGUAGACUGGGUUUGAGGUAUAGGGAGUAAGAGAGUGGGCUUAGCUUAGUUUGGGUGUUCAGCGAUUACUGUGCGUUGUGGUUAACUUGCAAGCUGACCAUUGAGAAAAAAAAAAUGGUUUGAUACCCCACUGAUGUUCUGUACAAUACGGUAUCUUUUCUUGCAGCAAUGAAGUCUGCUGCUGAAGAAGCAGGACGGAGAUUUGUGUGAUUGGGCAGUUCAUCAAGCGCAAGCGAAGUGCAGAGAUCUUUUCGAAAAAAGGAAGUUCAGAGAUCUGAAAGGAACCUAGUCCUCUAGUUUGGUUUGUCAGCUUUUGCUGUUUAAUUUUCUCCAGGCGUCUUUGGUUUCCAGAGUUCUCCAAGAAUCAUGCAAGAAACACCAAAACAGUACAUAAAUACUAGUACAAUUAGUACCUUUCUUGGUUUUCUUGAUUGCUUC